CCCUUCCUACGGGACGCAGCAGUAGGGAAUCUUCCACAAUGGACGACAGUCUGAUGGAGCAACGCCGCGUGAGUGAAGAAGGGUUUCGGCUCGGAAAGCUCUGUUGGUAGUGAAGAAAGAUAGAGGUAGUAACUGGCCUUUAUUUGACGGUAAUUACUUAGAAAGUCACGGCUAACUACGUGCCAGCAGCCGCGGUAAUACGUAGGUGGCAAUCGUUGUCCGGAUUUAUUGGGCGUAAAGCGAGUGCAGGCGGCUCAAUAAGUCGUGUGUG
Molecule: ribosomal RNA, 271 nt
Filed under: uncultured bacterium
Lineage: Bacteria
Description: partial 16S ribosomal RNA
Rfam family: Bacterial small subunit ribosomal RNA
Source: RNAcentral